ACAGGCUUAACACAUGCAAGUCGAGGGGCAGCAUGGAACUUAGCUUGCUAAGUUCGAUGGCGACCGGCGCACGGGUGAGUAACACGUAUCCAACCUACCGUUUACUACGGGAUAGCCUUCUGAAAAGGAGAUUAAUACCGUAUGGUAUUCUAAAGUUUCAUGACAUUAGAAUUAAAGGUUUACCGGUAAUCGAUGGGGAUGCGUUCCAUUAGAUAGUAGGCGGGGUAACGGCCCACCAAGUCAGCGAUGGAUAGGGGUUCUGAGAGGAAGGUCCCCCACAUUGGAACUGAGACACGGUCCAAACUCCUACGGGAGGCAGCAGUGAGGAAUAUUGGUCAAUGGGCGCGAGCCUGAACCAGCCAAGUAGCGUGAAGGAUGACGG
This 382-nucleotide ribosomal RNA is filed under the name uncultured Bacteroides sp. RNAcentral describes it as "bacterial SSU rRNA". It matches the Rfam family "Bacterial small subunit ribosomal RNA", at positions 42 to 414 of the family's 1533-position model. Lineage: Bacteria; Pseudomonadati; Bacteroidota; Bacteroidia; Bacteroidales; Bacteroidaceae. The record is from RNAcentral.